Molecule: non-coding RNA, 627 nt
Organism: Nicotiana tabacum (common tobacco)
Lineage: Eukaryota; Viridiplantae; Streptophyta; Magnoliopsida; Solanales; Solanaceae
Source: RefSeq, a predicted model, not a curated record
UUCUUCAUUAACAAUUGCAAAAUAAGCCAUAAAUCUCAAAAGUUCCAUCUCCAUCAAUAUUCAAAGACUGCAUUUUUUCUUCAAUUUGUUGAAUCUUACGUUAAAUUUAUAGGAAAUUGAACUCUAUUAUACUAGUCUUCUUCUUCUUCCCAUGUCGCAAUGAGAAGAGAUUUCUCUAAAGGGAUUGGAUUUUUGUUGUUGUGGUUAUAACGCAAAGCUGAAAAUUUCACGGUCCCCCAAAAAUCUAUGUCGUCGAUUUUAUGGGUGUAAAUUGGACAAAAUGGUAUGACGAAGACUUUCUCGAUCAAGCUAAGAAGACCAUUAAUGGUUUGCUAAAAAGGGUCAAAGAAAAUGAAGCGAAAUUGGCUCGGGCAAGGAAGAAGUAGAUUUUUGUGUUUAUAGUCGUGUCAUUGCGUGGAAUUAUUUGGUCGUGCUUGCAUUUUGUUGAUUGAAGCUAAGAAGACCAUUGUUGAAGGUUGCUGGCAAUAUUAUUGUUAGUUUUUGGGUGGGAUUGAAGGUUGAUGGCGAUCUUGUGUUUGUUAAUGAAAAAAAUCAAAUAUUGUACCUAUCUAUAUAUUGUCUUUUGCAUAUGUACAUUUAUGAAGAAAUGAAUUAGUCUUUGUUGAA